This 400-nucleotide ribosomal RNA is filed under the name uncultured bacterium. Its description in RNAcentral is "bacterial SSU rRNA". It matches the Rfam family "Bacterial small subunit ribosomal RNA", at positions 355 to 747 of the family's 1533-position model. The record is from RNAcentral.
UGGGGAAUAUUGCACAAUGGGGGAAACCCUGAUGCAGCCAUGCCGCGUGUGUGAAGAAGGCCUUCGGGUUGUAAAGCACUUUCAGUGGGGAGGAAGGGCUGAUGACUAAUAUUCAUCAGCAUUGACGUUACCCACAGAAGAAGCACCGGCUAACUCCGUGCCAGCAGCCGCGGUAAUACGGAGGGUGCAAGCGUUAAUCGGAAUAACUGGGCGUAAAGCGCACGCAGGCGGUUAGAUAAGUCAGAUGUGAAAGCCCCGGGCUCAACCUGGGAACUGCAUUUGAAACUGUCUGACUAGAGUCUUGUAGAGGGGGGUAGAAUUCCAGGUGUAGCGGUGAAAUGCGUAGAGAUCUGGAGGAAUACCGGUGGCGAAGGCGGCCCCCUGGACAAAGACUGACGCU